RNAcentral lists this ribosomal RNA (253 nucleotides) under uncultured bacterium. RNAcentral describes it as "partial 16S ribosomal RNA". It matches the Rfam family "Bacterial small subunit ribosomal RNA", at positions 524 to 776 of the family's 1533-position model. The record is from RNAcentral.
UACGAAGGUGGCAAGCGUUGUUCGGAUUUACUGGGCGUAAAGGGAGCGUAGGCGGUUAGGUAAGUCCUCCGGGAAAUCUUCAGGCUUAACCUGAAAAGGUCGGGGGGGACUGCCUGGCUAGAGGACGGGAGAGGAGCGCGGAAUUCCGCGUGUAGCAGUGAAAUGCGUAGAUAUGCGGAGGAACACCGAUGGCGAAGGCAAUCCCCUGGGCCUGCACUGACGCUCAUGCACGAAAGCGUGGGGAGCAAACAGG